GAUGAACGCUGGCGGCGUGCCUAAUACAUGCAAGUCGAGCGAACGGACGAGAAGCUUGCUUCUCUGAUGUUAGCGGCGGACGGGUGAGUAACACGUGGAUAACCUACCUAUAAGACUGGGAUAACUUCGGGAAACCGGAGCUAAUACCGGAUGAUAUUUUGAACCGCAUGGUUCAAAAGUGAAAGACGGUCUUGCUGUCACUUAUAGAUGGAUCCGCGCUGCAUUAGCUAGUUGGUAAGGUAACGGCUUACCAAGGCAACGAUGCAUAGCCGACCUGAGAGGCUGAUCGGCCACACUGGAACUGAGACACGGUCCAGACUCCUACGGGAGGCAGCAGUAGGGAAUCUUACGCAAUGGGCGAAAGCCUGACGGAGCAACGCCGCGUGAGUGAUGAAGGUCUUCGGAUCGUAAAACUCUGUUAUUAGGGAAGAACAUAUGUGUAAGUAACUGUGCACAUCUUGACGGUACCUAAUCAGAAAGCCACGGCUAACUACGUG
RNAcentral lists this ribosomal RNA (497 nucleotides) under uncultured bacterium. RNAcentral describes it as "partial 16S ribosomal RNA". It matches the Rfam family "Bacterial small subunit ribosomal RNA", at positions 28 to 507 of the family's 1533-position model. The record is from RNAcentral.